UGCCUACGGGGGGCAGCAGUAGGGAAUCUUCCACAAUGGACGAAAGUCUGAUGGAGCAACGCCGCGUGAGGGAAGACGGCCCUAUGGGUUGUAAACCUCUUUUGUCGGAGAACAAAACCCGGGACGUGUCCCGGACUGCGUGUAUCCGAAGAAAAAGCAUCGGCUAACUCCGUGCCAGCAGCCGCGGUAAUACGGAGGAUGCGAGCGUUAUCCGGAUUUAUUGGGUUUAAAGGGUGCGUAGGCGGUCCGUUAAGUCAGCGGUAAAAUUGCGGGGCUCAACCCCGUCGAGCCGUUGAAACUGGCAG
This 305-nucleotide ribosomal RNA is filed under the name uncultured bacterium. RNAcentral describes it as "bacterial SSU rRNA". It matches the Rfam family "Bacterial small subunit ribosomal RNA", at positions 335 to 639 of the family's 1533-position model. The record is from RNAcentral.